RNAcentral lists this unclassified non-coding RNA (286 nucleotides) under Hevea brasiliensis (rubber tree). Lineage: Eukaryota; Viridiplantae; Streptophyta; Magnoliopsida; Malpighiales; Euphorbiaceae. The record is from RNAcentral.
AGUUUGUAUCUUGAAUGAGAUGAUAUUUGGUCUAUCAGAUCAGUCAGUCGAUAGUCUUACAAAAAUGCUUCAAAAGUCCAUUGUUAAGAGGGAAGAGAUUCAAGAAUUUGAUGGAAGUGUUGCUGACAGUCAGCCUUGCACAGUUGAAUCUUCUGAGCUUACUCAAUCUAUUUGGAAGCUUUCACAGGAAAAAGCUUCUAGGAGUCACCUGAUUGAUUGCAUUGGUAGAAUUUUACAUGAAUAUCUAUCAUCUGAAGUGUGGGAUCUUCCAGUGGAUUGCAAACCG